Molecule: long non-coding RNA, 721 nt
Organism: Cyanistes caeruleus (blue tit)
Lineage: Eukaryota; Metazoa; Chordata; Aves; Passeriformes; Paridae
Source: RefSeq, a predicted model, not a curated record
GUUCCUGGGAGCGGGGCCCUGCCGGCCGCUCGCCGCCGGCCUGCGAUUCAUGGUGUCAGCGUAAAGCCAGACACACUUUCCUGCUAAAUUGAUCUCUCAGUGUAAAACAUCUAAACAUCAAGGUCUGUCUGAGGCCCUUAUUCCCACCUCUUUGACUCCCACAGGACCCUCCAGUUCACUUUUCAGACAGAAGAGCUGCCUGAACCUAUUCUCCGUGCAGGCGAUGACUGAGCCAAGGGCCCAGGCCGUGUAAGGGGAGCUCGCUGUGGCCACACUGACUGGUCCCAGUUCUGCAGAACCACUACCUGCCCUUGCACCGACAGACAGCACCUCCCCAGACUGACCGGCAGCUCUCCAGCUAACCCAGAAAGGAUACAUUCCGUUUCCACUCUGCACAGUAUUUCACUGCACUCUUAACUGCACCUAUAGCCGUUUUUAAGCUGACAUCUGGACAAAACACAGCAUCAGCUCUCUUAACCAUGUGACCCAUGUACUAAUUUAUGUAGCUGACUGCCUCUUCAGGAAACAUCACUGAAAAUGGGCACCAGAUGCAAGCACCACCUUUAGGUUUGAAGCAGCCUUUUAAAUAAACCUCAACUACACAGUGUCUGCAAGCUUCUUACUGUAAACAAAGUGGCCUAAGGAUUUGGGCUUGGAUAUAAAAAUUGUCAUUAUUUUCAUUCCUUGACCUAAUAAAAGUAUACAUCUGCCAAGCCCUUCA